RNAcentral lists this transfer RNA (75 nucleotides) under Lysobacter enzymogenes. RNAcentral describes it as "tRNA-Val". It matches the Rfam family "tRNA". Rfam says of the family: Transfer RNA (tRNA) molecules are approximately 80 nucleotides in length. Their secondary structure includes four short double-helical elements and three loops (D, anti-codon, and T loops). Further hydrogen bonds mediate the characteristic L-shaped molecular structure. tRNAs have two regions of fundamental functional importance: the anti-codon, which is responsible for specific mRNA codon recognition, and the 3' end, to which the tRNAs corresponding amino acid is attached (by aminoacyl-tRNA synthetases). tRNAs cope with the degeneracy of the genetic code in two manners: having more than one tRNA (with a specific anti-codon) for a particular amino acid; and 'wobble' base-pairing, i.e. permitting non-standard base-pairing at the 3rd anti-codon position. Lineage: Bacteria; Pseudomonadati; Pseudomonadota; Gammaproteobacteria; Lysobacterales; Lysobacteraceae. RNAcentral also lists the same sequence under 35 other names. The record is from RNAcentral.
GGGCGGUUAGCUCAGCGGUAGAGCAUCGCCUUCACACGGCGAGGGUCGCAGGUUCGAACCCUGCACCGCCCACCA